AUUAUUUUAAUAUGGAAAUUCGGCCAAGGGUCUUUUAUUUGGGACUCUUGGACUGAAUAUAAAAAUUUAAACUAAAUAAAAUAAAUAAAUAAAAAUAAAACUUUACAACUUGGGCCACUUUGACAAUUUGGCCUGAUUUUCAACUAAGUAUGGGUGGAUUUCUUGAUUGGGCUUGGAAUCUUCUUAUUGGGCAUUGCCCUCAAGAAUUUGGGCUUUUGUGACUCGUAUCAUUCCCCCCUUCCUCAAAAAGAUUCGUCCUCGAAUCUGAAAAAUCAAAUGAACUCGACUUUCCUCUAUCGAACGGGAGUAAUGGCAAUUGAGUCCACUGAAAAGAAUAGCCAUGAAAUAGUAAAUAGCAACACAAACAAGCUUGUAGUCCAAUUAUAAGCAUAAUAGAACAGGUAUAACGCAUGUGAAUGGACAGAUUCAGAUUACAAUGCAAACAAUCUAAUUUACUCACCACUGCCUCGUC
RNAcentral lists this long non-coding RNA (472 nucleotides) under Gossypium barbadense (sea-island cotton). RNAcentral describes it as "long non-coding RNA (GBAR_LNC003643)". Lineage: Eukaryota; Viridiplantae; Streptophyta; Magnoliopsida; Malvales; Malvaceae. The record is from RNAcentral.